ACGGGAGGCAGCAGUGGGGGAUAUUGCACAAUGGGGGAAACCCUGAUGCAGCGACGCCGCGUGAGUGAAGAAGUAUUUCGGUAUGUAAAGCUCUAUCAGCAGGGAAGAAAAUGACGGUACCUGACUAAGAAGCUCCGGCUAAAUACGUGCCAGCAGCCGCGGUAAUACGUAUGGAGCAAGCGUUAUCCGGAUUUACUGGGUGUAAAGGGAGCGUAGGCGGGAUGGCAAGUCAGAUGUGAAAACUAUGGGCUCAACCCAUAGACUGCAUUUGAAACUGUUGUUCUUGAGUGAAGUAGAGGUAAGCGGAAUUCCUAGUGUAGCGGUGAAAUGCGUAGAUAUUAGGAGGAACAUCGGUGGCGAAGGCGGCUUACUGGGCUUUUACUGACGCUGAGGCUCGAAAGCGUGGGGAGCAAACAGGAUUAGAUACCCUGGUA
Molecule: ribosomal RNA, 434 nt
Filed under: uncultured Lachnospiraceae bacterium
Lineage: Bacteria; Bacillati; Bacillota; Clostridia; Lachnospirales; Lachnospiraceae
Description: partial 16S ribosomal RNA
Rfam family: Bacterial small subunit ribosomal RNA
Source: RNAcentral